CCAUCCCCAUUUCAGCCCCAGGGAGCUGGACAGACAGGGUAGGGAGUCGAACUCACCUGGGGGCAGCAGCAUGGGAGGGCCCCACUCUGAGAAGGCCAGCGUGUCCUCUUUGUCUCUUUCCCCAUACCUGGAAGCACUGUGCCCAGGUGCCAGCCCACCGGUUUCAUAUCUGCCUGUAGGCACCCUCUUGCCCAGGGCACAUGGGCCCAGGCCUGGUCAGCACAGAUGCUCUGUUUCCCCAAGAGUGGCCUGGAAGGGGCUGGGACUGGGGCUGGAGAUGGGGCUUGGGCUGGGGAUAGGGUGUGGCCAGGAAUGUGGAGUGGGCCCAGGGUCCCAGGGGCUGGGAUCUCUCUCCCUGUCCAUGGCACAUGCCUAGGCUUGGUCAGCAUGUUGAUGUAUCUACGGAGCUCAGCUGUGCACUGGGCCAUCUGCUCCGGUGUGGUAUUGUCCCCUGGGUACAAUGGCUCCAGCGGGGCUCCCCGGGCACCCAGCAGUGGCCACAGCAACAGAGCCACACAGGUGGACAGGAGCAGCAGGGAGAGGCAGCGGCAUGCGGCAGCCAUCUGAGGAGCAAGCAGAGGGGAGGUGGAGGUGGAAGAGCCCAUGCUGCAGAUUUUCCUAUGCCCUGGAAGCAGGGCCCAUCUACCCAGCCCCUUAGCCCAUCAUCCAUUUCUCCAAGCCUGGGGACGAGAGGGCAGAGAAAAGGGCCACUCCGAGCUGACCACUCCACCUCCUAGACAGUGUGCUGGAGGCACGGACAGCCUGUCCUGUGAGCAGCCCAGCAGCCAGGGCCUUGCAAGUUAGAGAAGUGUAGCACAGAAAAUGGAGACAUGAGUCCUGGAGACACAUGUCUCAUGACAUCCAGGUCCUCAUGGCUCUGAGGCAGCAGUAGCUACUGGGAAAUAAGGGCACACCAGGUCACCCACAGGGUGUGGGACAUGGAAUGAACUGGGGAAGCAAAGGACAGAAAUCCACGGCCUUGUGGGUCUGGCCCUCCACCCAACAGUAGAGACAGAUAUGGGUUCUGGAGAAGACAUCCUGCACAGACCGUGUCAUCCUGCACAGACCGGCACAGCCACUCACACAGGGACACAUUCCAGUUCACAGCUAUGCACACGAGUGUGCACACACACUUGCAGUCAUCAGAUGGCUCUCCUAGUGUGACAGGUGUGUCCAGAUGCAGAGCAAGACCCAAGCAGGACCUUAGGCCUUUGAAGGCCCCUGGCCCUGCAAAGCACGAACUCCUUCCCUCCAUCCCAGACCCCAGCCUGGGGGAGUUCUCCAGAGCCCCAAGCAGGCUGAGCCCACUUACCCAGAGUCCAGAGUAAACGGUCACUGGACCAAGCAAGGACGUGUCCCUGCCCUCAGCCGGGCCGCUUUUUCAGUCCUCAGUCCCCUAGAGUCCCCAUCUCCUGUCAGCCUCUCUCACUCCACAGCCCUUACUCCCUCCUCCCACUGUCUCCCUGGUACUCGCAACGCCACUACUGGGCCAGAGAUGGGAGGGGGACGGGAGUGCUGGGGGUGCCAGACUAGCAGCAUAGUCAAUAAAACUGGAUCACAGCAAAA
RNAcentral lists this long non-coding RNA (1566 nucleotides) under Pan troglodytes (chimpanzee). RNAcentral's name for it is "lincRNA". The record is from RNAcentral. Lineage: Eukaryota; Metazoa; Chordata; Mammalia; Primates; Hominidae.